This 524-nucleotide small RNA is filed under the name Pan troglodytes (chimpanzee). RNAcentral's name for it is "processed transcript". The record is from RNAcentral. Lineage: Eukaryota; Metazoa; Chordata; Mammalia; Primates; Hominidae.
ACUCCCGCCGUGGGUCCCUCUGAAUAAGCGGCUGAAAUCUCCUGAGGGGCCCACCUCGGCAUGGACCUGCCAGCUACCGGAGCCUUCCGCCUCCACCUGUCCCCUCCUACAGAGGCCAGCACUGUGACACAUGGUCUUAUGUGCUGAUACCGGCAGCCCAGCACGGGCAGUUCACUGUGGACCACGGUGUGGGCAGGAGCUGGUUGCUGCCUCCCGGGACGCUGGACCAGUUCAUCUGCCUGGGCAGAGCUCAGGGCCUCUCGGAUGACAACAUUGUCUUCCCAGAUGUGACUGGAGGUGCCCUGGACCUCAGCAGCCUGCCCUGGGUGGCAGCCCCAGCCUGACCACUCAGACAGCCGCGGCCCCCAAGGCCUGACUCUUCUUGUGGGAGGGCGAGGCUGGUCACCCCAGGCCAGCGUCUGUUGAAGGAUGAAGCAGCUCCUGUCCGGCCCAGCCCUGCCUCACAGCUGCGCGAGCUCUGCCCUCCUCAGCUCUCAAACCUGAAUAAAUGCACCAAGCCCAGA